This 290-nucleotide ribosomal RNA is filed under the name uncultured bacterium. RNAcentral's name for it is "partial 16S ribosomal RNA". It matches the Rfam family "Bacterial small subunit ribosomal RNA", at positions 334 to 642 of the family's 1533-position model. The record is from RNAcentral.
UAGCUUACGGGACGCAGCAGUGGGGAAUAUUGCACAAUGGGGGAAACCCUGAUGCAGCAACGCCGCGUGAGUGAAGAAGUAUUUCGGUAUGUAAAGCUCUAUCAGCAGGGAAGAAAAUGACGGUACCUGAGUAAGAAGCCCCGGCUAACUACGUGCCAGCAGCCGCGGUAAUACGUAUGGUGCAAGCGUUAUCCGGAUUUACUGGGUGUAAAGGGAGCGCAGGCGGUGCGGCAAGUCUGAUGUGAAAGCCCGGGGCUCAACCCCGGGACUGCAUUGGAAACUACCGAACU